Molecule: long non-coding RNA, 260 nt
Filed under: Malus domestica (apple)
Lineage: Eukaryota; Viridiplantae; Streptophyta; Magnoliopsida; Rosales; Rosaceae
Description: long non-coding RNA (MDOM_LNC007245)
Source: RNAcentral
CGUAAAGAAAAGAGGGGAAGUGAAACAUAUAAGAAACUUCCAUGUAAAAGAAAAAAAAAUUAUAUAUCAAUUUUAACUUUAAAUAUUAAAUUACGACCAUGGGAUUUUUAUCAAACAGAUAAGAACAGAAGCUCAGGUAAGUGUCCGAUGAAGAAAAUUAGGGCUAAACAAUUCUUUCCACAUUUUUUCCCUAUAUGGUAUUCGUUGACCACAAUCAAUCUUCAAUGUUUCAUAAGGUAAUGUCAUGUGUUCAAUUUUUU